Long non-coding RNA from Passer domesticus (house sparrow), 9679 nucleotides. RefSeq lists it as uncharacterized. The transcript is spliced from 2 exons. Lineage: Eukaryota; Metazoa; Chordata; Aves; Passeriformes; Passeridae. The record is from RefSeq and is a predicted model, not a curated record.
GGCUCUCCCCGUGAGGGCACCGCCUGCAGGAGUGAGCAGUGGGGUCCGUGGGCAGCCCAGAUCUCUCCUAAGGAGGGAUCUCUUCCGUAGGGCAGGGAUGGAAGUAAGGCGCCUCUGAGGAAGGAGUCUGGGAAUGUGGCACCUCUCUUCUCCUCUCCCAUCCACCCAGCCUCCAUCCCACGACCUGCACUGUGAACAGCCACUAAACAGCUGGGGGAGAUGGGGAUUUUUGGAGCUGGAACACCAUCCCCCUGUCCCUUGGCUGACUCUGGCCAGGACCCACAUUUCGGGGGGACCCACCCUCUUGCAGCCUGCGGAGCCCUCACUCCCGUUGACAAGCAGGUUUGCUUUAUUUCAAGUCCACAAAGUGACGCGGGCUGCGUUAUUUGAGCUCGGGACCCUCCUUGGCCUGUUGGCCGCUGUUUCCCAGCGCUGCACCUCUUCCCAAGGAAGGGAACCAGCAGCUCUGCCUGCAACCUGCAGCUCCAGCACAGGCAGGCAGCUCAUGCGAGGUGGCCAGAAAUACCGUAUGCAUUACAUAGUAAUCUGGGGGUGGCAAAGAGGGGUACACAGGUCCGUGGGGCAAUGGCAGCAGCUGGUCCCAACUUGCACAAGGGUUGCAAUGGGGCUGCGACCCAGGAAAAAGCCCUUCCUUGGAGCCCCUCGGACCACGAACGGCAGGAGCAGCACGUCGCUGGAAGAGACUGGUUUGCUCCAGUAGCCUCUUUACAAGCACCAAGGGACAGCUGUUUGGGGACCGCUGGGUUUUUAAAAGGCCGCUUACGAGCUUUAACACUGCGCUGGGGGAGAGGGAAAGGAGAAGGGGGGUCAGGGAGGGGUGGUUGCAUUGACUGCUUAGGACUUAAAGCUGUAAACCUCUUCUUCCCUCUCUCAUUGCUGGGACAUUUUUAUUGGCGAGAUGAAGGGAGACAGAGCACAGCUCCACAACUUGCUCUUCUUCUAGAGGUUAAUGACCCAGUUAGCAGCUCUUGGCUGCAUUUCCCGACAUUUUGCAGACAUCAAGACCCGUCUCCCUGCCAAGUACAUUCUGUUCCCUGGAGCUCGGCCAAUGCAUCUCAGAUUACUAUGUAAUGCGACAAAGAGGGAGAGCUAGAGAGUACAUGAUGCUGCUCAGGCACACUGUGCUUGGCGAGUGUGGCUGCUCCAGAUCCUGACACUUUCACAGUAAAGGAAGGAAGGUCAGACCAUGGGGAAGACUCUCCUGGCUGUGAUUGAACUUGUGGCUUGCAGAGGGGCUGAGCUGCCAAACUCAGCUGGUGCCUGCCAUUGUUAGAAACCAACCUGAUCUCAUGCUCCACACUUGCCUUGGAGCCCUUCCCCAGUGACCAGUCUGGUGUUCUCUCCCGAGCCAUGCUGGGGUCUUCCCCUGUAGCUCUGAGGAGAUCCCGUGGCCAUAACAUGCACUACAAUGCCCUUGGCCCUUGUAAACCUUUCCUCACAGGCUUCAUGUGUCACGUUUCAGAUUAAAACCACAUUGUUUUCUAAUUGUUUCUUUGAACCAGAGACCCUCAUAUGUUGGCAGUGUUGAAAAUGAAGCUUGGGGUCCUGACCUGUGAGGAAGUCUUGCAAUCCCUCCUCUCCCAGGCUGGCAUCUCUGUUCCAGUAUCCCCAUGCUACUUAGCUGCAGUAUCUCCUACUAAUUCAGCUCUGGACAUUUUGAAACUUCAGAGUUCAGAGCUGCCUUACAGCCUUCCAGCCAGACCUGCAGACCCACCAUGCCCUGGGCUGCUGCCCCACUCUGAUGAUGUGCCACAAGCCUCUCUCCAUGCAGGACACAGUUUCUGGCACAUGGUCAUGCUGGUUCUCAGCCCAAAUCUUUGCCAGGUCUUCUUUCCCUCCCACCUUCCAUACUUGUGUCAGCUCCACAUUGGUGAGCAUGUUGCUCACAGACAUCCCAGCCAUGGGCACCUCUGCCUGAGCCUACACUGAUGUAGGAGCUCAUCCAGUCCCAUUCCUGCUGGGACAUAGCCAUGGUCCCAGUUCCAGCCCAUUCCCUCUGCUGUUCUGCCAUGUCUGCCUGCUCCCACGUUGUCUUUCUUGGUCCAGCCUGGCCUCUGGGGCACAGGGUGUGUGGGGUCUCCUCUCCUGGUGCUGGCCAAUGCCUGGCUGAGCCUCCUGGCACAGCCCUCGUGCAAGGAGAUGUGCUGGGAAAUGAGCCUUGAGGGUCACCUCUGACCAAGGGGUGUGUGCAGGCUCAGGAGCAGUGUGUGAAGGUGGGUGCUUUUUGCCUCCAAGCAAAGCAGGAGGCCUGGGGAGAGCUCAUGGAGGGGGCUGACACACACAAGGUGUCAGAGCCUGCUCACAGGACCUGAGAAACCCCACAGCCUGGCCCAUGCCAGCAGUGCUCCGAGCCCUGCUCUCCCUCCGUGGCCUGGCAGGCACAGUCUGCUGCCAGAGCUGAGAGAAAGGGCUGUUCCCCAGCAUUGCACCAGGCUGUGCACCAGGCAGAGGAUCUGCUCCUCCCUUCAGAGAUGGUUGGAUGAGGCCAGGCUUCCAAGCACCACCUCAGGGCUCCCACCCUGCUCCACAGCCCUCUUUGUGCCAUCCUUCAUGAUGCUGCCUUGUGAAAUGGGAAGAGAAGAAACACCAGAGGUCUGCCUCAAUGGGACUGCUUAUCUCCCUGGAGCAGAGCCCUCCCUCCUCUUCAAGGAAUUAUUUCCUUGAAAGACACAAACCAGCACAAAACUGCCUCUUGCUCAGCUCCAUCUGCCAUGUGGGGGCUGGGUGCCGGGAGGCCACUGUUGCUCACUGCAUUUGCCAGACAGACAUGGCUUUGGGAGGAUUUUUCACCAUGUGCAGUCUAAGAAAGAGAUGAGUUGGGUUUACCUGUACCAGGAGUUGCUCAGGAAAGUCCUGAAAAAAAAAAGGAAGAGUGUUUUUAUGGAGAAGAACUUCCUCAAAAACCACAGUGAAUGCCAGCAUCUAAAAAUCUGGCACUGUGUCACUUCACUGCUGAGCAUCUGUCCUCAAGGCCAGCCCCACAGACAGAAAGUCAUCAGGGGCCAAAGCAUCCUUUGAAACACAAGCCUUGGCUAACCACAAACAUGCAACCCUCCCGACUUCUAAGCCACAUGUCAGCCUCCUCCAAAGAAUGAGAAGGUUCAGACACAGUCCUGUGAUGUGGGACAGCUGGGAGGAGGGCACAGGUUGCAGGGAGGAAGGAACCCCUCCUCCCCAAGAGGAGCUGGGUAGAAGCAUACACCAAGUCUCAAUCUUCCAGCAAAGUCAUCCCAAUCCUCUUUGUGUGGCUCGUGCCCUUCCCUGGCAGCUGCCCAGUGUGGAGAUGGGCGCAUAUCACACACACUGUGCUUGAUGCUGCACAAACCCAGCCUGCAGUGAUGGUCUUGGCCCCACAUCCCUGAUAUUUGACUGCCCAGCAGAGCUGCUACAAGUCAACAGCUCCCAGCCAGCAGGGAGGGCACAGAUGUGCAAAUGGGGAAAAACCUGCCAGAGGCAUCUCAGCACCUGGUACAAUCCUAAGAAGACUCAGGUUGGGACAAUUAUGGUUUAAGUAGUUCUAUUACUAAUGCUAGAAGAAGCGUUUCAGCUCUUUAUCAGGGUAAGUAAUAGCAGGUAGGUGACUGCUAAGUUCACAUUGCGUUUUUUCCACCCUUCCCUUUCCCCACAGAGCUGUGCUGGAGUAGAAAUCAUGGCAGUAAACAAGCAUCAAGGCCAACACAUAUAAAAUGUGUUCCAUUCCUAUUUGUGGGGCAGGGUGAGCCAGGCAAGCACCAGCUGGGGCCUCCACGUGACUUGUAGUAGGAAAGUAGGGACAUGAGUAGGGAAGCUCAUCCCAAAAGCUGAGACUUUUUGUUGUUUCAGGAGACCAGCAAAGACCUCAUUUCUGUCUCAAUUAGAUCUUGAAUUUAUCAACUCACAGAAACCACGAGGCAGUUUUUGUGCAAUAACUACAGCCAGUCCAGGCUCAAUUCCUCACCUUUUAACAUCACCUCCAGAUUCACCCGCCUCAGGAAGAAGAAACCCAAGUUAAGCACAGCUCAUUAGUCCAGUGUGGGCAGGGCAGAAAAGACUGAACUUAAAGUGCAGUAAGGAGGAUUUAACUUUGGCCCAUCUCUAAAUGUUUUAAAUAACAAACACAGUUAAGCACCGAAAUCAUUGCCUAGGGGCGUCUGUGAGGUCUGUGUACUCAAAUGCUUUCAGGAACAGGACAAAGGCAAACAUCCGUCUGAGCUAGCUUGGGUCCAGCUAGCAGGCUAUGGAUCAGUUGAACUCUUGUCAUGUGUUGGCCUUUCCCAGCUCAAUUUCCAGAUGUGUUUGUUCAGCUCCUCUCUGUCACAUGCUGACCCCUCCCUGUGUGUUCACAGGAUGUGUGGCACACUGCUGAGCCUGGUGCUGAGCACGUUGGGCUGACUUGUGAAAUCAUAUUUUCCUUGAAAUUAGGAUGAGUUUUGAGAUAUACAUAAAUGUAUAGAAUAGCAGAGAAUAUUUAUUAGGGUUGAAAUUAACAUUGAUUGAUUUGAUUUUUGCUGAUUAGGUAAUUAUGAGAACUAAAGGGGUAAUCACCUUUUCAACGAGGAAAUGAAACAAUCAUCCAAGCUAGACAAGUCCUGAGUUUCUAAUUUGAGCAGGAAAAAAAAAAAAGCUACAGGUGAAGAGGAAAGAGCAGUAUCUAUACCCUGUUGCCUUUUGCUCUCAAAGCAGACAUGGGCUGGGACUUUUCCCACCAUGGCCAUCUCGGUUUUAUCCAUCCAUAUGUCUUGGGAGAUGGACUGAGGAGAGAUGCAAGGUUUAGCCUGGGGAAAGCAAUGCAAGGUGCAGAUUUUGGCUUAGUUCACCACACCCAGAGGAGGAAGGUGCCUUUCCUACCCCUCUCCACCUCACCAGAAGCAUGAACAUACCUGUCAAGUCACUGACAGCUGAACAUGAGCCUCACAGGAGCAAGUCCUGCCUCACUCCCCGCCCUAGACAGGUCUCUUGCACACCUCAGGGGCUCUGUCCCCAAGGCUGCACCCCAGACUGGCUCACUGGAUGUUUGGGGUAUCUCCAGGCCUCAUGUCUGGUGAUCUGGGAUUUCUUCCCCAGUCAGCAACAGGGAAAAAGGCCACCAAGGGCAGACCUUGGCCUCACACUCUGUGCCCACAAUUGCCACCCCUCGUUGCUUUGUGUAGGGCUUGGACACCCAUACAAGUGCUGUGAUCCCUUGCCCCUGUUCCCACCUGUGUCAUAAUGGAAGCCAGGAUGAAGGGACACUGGAAAGCCAGCUACCAUCAGUCCCUUAAAAACAAAAAAACCAAAGGCCUUUUCUCAGCUGCAGUGGCAUGAACAGAGCUUAGUCCCCCUGGCCACUCCAGGAUGUGGCUGAGAUAUAUCAGGGAAGAGCAGCUGUCAGCAUGGAUGUGCCUAAAAUUAGCUCAAAGAGAAGGUUUCCUCCAUUUAUUUAUUUAUUUGCUCCUUAAAAGGUCCCUUCUUAUUAGAUGCAAAUUCAGCACAAAGCUUCAAGCCAGUACAAAGGCACUGCUAAUAAUUUUCAAUUACACUGAGGGGAAGGUCACAGCACUUUGCUUUUGAAUUUCUGCUUGGGAUAGAAGCUGUGGCUAAGGGAGCACUCUUUGGAGAUUUGGCUAAAGGAAUGUAUUUGGAAGAGCUGUACCAUGUGGUGCAGCUGGUGAGCUGGUAUGCUGGAGACCCUUGUGUCACUUUUUUGAGGUUUUAGGUGCUCCAGGAAAAAAUCAUAGAGAAUGGGUCUCUAACCUUAAUUUAUUUCCUUUCAGAUAUACACACACUCCCUUCCAAGGAGUUUUUUAUUAUACAUUAUGGCAUCUGCUUUCAUCUGUUUGCCAGCUUAUGCUUACCAUCCAUCUUUCCCAUCCUCUGAUAAUUCCAGGACUCCCUCAUCAAUUUCACUCCCUCAGACUGUAGGGGAAGAAAGGGAGUGGAAAAAUCUUAGAGAUACUAGAUUCCAGCAAGUGUUUUGUCAAAGAAAAUUACCUCAAUAAGGCCUUUUGUAAGCAAAAUACUAGAGAAAGAAUUUCCUCCUUCUUGGAAAAGAAUCCACAUAUGGCAUAGAUCCAUAGGAAAGGAGGCUUGAUCACUUCUGCUGCUCAAGGGACCAUCUGUUAAUUAUAGAGCUUACAGAACUUAAUCUCAUCACCUCUGGCUCAUGACCCAGAGACUGAACUGGGAAUACCUAUACAGACAUUUAGAAGAACUGAAAAAUAAUAAAAAAGAACUCUAGGGAAAAAUCAACCCCAAAUUUCCUUUAGUGUACCUAGUCCAUCCCACACAUCUCAGAAAAAUACCUUAAUAUUUCUUUGUGCAUACUCCUGGAUGGGCUUUGGGGGAUACAAAUGUGCUUUCAAACUCCUCCUGACACCUUGCUCUGCAGUGACCCACAGACAUGCAGGAGCUGAGUACUGAGGUUGCUGCCUUUGUGCAGGGUUGCUGCUCUCCCAGCAGCUUCUUCCCUUUCAUUUCCUACUCUGCUUACAUAUUUUUUGAGGUGAGGAAUUGCUGUCACCAUUGCAGGGAGGUGCUGGGCCAGCCUGGGGCAGGGGGCUGCUCCUGCAGCGUGGAGAGGUGAUGAAUGAAGUGAGCAGUGAGUGGCAGCACACCCGGAUCACCCCUGCACACAGUCAUGCUGUAAUGCAACAUCUCUGGUGUAGCCUGGUCAAGUCAUGCCACAAUCUUUGUCUCCUGACUCUGAAAACAUUUGGACCCAAGUUUGUGAUUUGUCCAAGCAGGGGACACCAUGCACUACAACUCUGUGCUACCAGAGCAUAAUUCAUAGGUGGGCUGAAGCACUGGCUCUGAGCUGGCCAUUCCAUCUACAGCCAAUCUCCAUCCAAUCUCCAUAUUCAACGUCCAGGAGCAGAGUUUCCAGGCUGCAACUUCAGUUUUUUUCUGAUCCACCAAGUCAAUUGGAUGCACAUGCAAGCUGGAUCCUGAGAUUUUAUGGCUUUUUAAUGAGAAGGUGAGAACUAUUUACACUUUGCAUAAGCUCUUCCCUAGAGACAGCAGUCCUGUUCAGAGUUAAAGGCCUGCUAGAUCUACCUGCUUACCAUAACUUUAUCCUCUUGUCCAAGAAAGUACAUCAGAGAGCAGAAAGUCAAGCAUCUCAGAGUACAUCUGGUUUAAAAGACCAGCCCCCCUGCCUCAUAUCGCUCAUCCGUCUGCUCUGAUGGCAUCAAUGUUGCUCUGCACAGCACUGCAAGUACUGCUGAUUGCAGAGCAGCAGCAGGAAGAUGGGAAUCAUUAAAGCAACUCAGCCAAAGCCCUGUAAUUAAUUAGUUAGAAAAGCAUCUUGGCGUUAUUAGAGAGGCCUCAGCAGAGGAAGCGACACCUCUGUUCGAACAGAUUCACCUUCCGCCAGAGCUGCUGCUGUGAUGUUUGACAUUGUGCUGGUGUAAACAGAAAUUAGAAGUCAGUGUGACAGGGAGAGGAGCCACUGGCAGGCAGUGCCCUUGGCCAGGACUGUGCUGUGUGCCAGGAGGUUUCCUUGCUUUGCUGGCAGGCAGAAAUCAGAUCCUGGAAAAAGCUCAGGUAGGGAUGAUUGCUGCUCAACCAGGAGGACCCUGAUUUCUGCUGUGAUUAAAAGCAAACCCAGAUUUCCCAGGGUACUGAACAUGAAGCUUGUUAUCCAGGUGUUUGUGAUUAUAAACACAAACUAAAUGUACACAGAAAUGCCACCCAAGACUCCAGGAACUGGUGUCUCCUGGGAUCUAGACACAUGCAGGAUGCAUGUCCCUGGCAAACAUGCACAGUUUGGCUGCAUGGAGAACUGGGCCAUGCUCAGAACUGCAUAUUCAUGGCAUGCAAAUGUUAUGCUAUUGCAAACUCCCACAGCUGUCAUCAGCACACAGCACCAUGGCCGUGAGCCCCAGAGAUGGAGUAAUAUCCUAUGGGGAGCAGCAGGAGGCUGCAAGAUCUAUGUGUUGCUGAAAAUAAGAGCAUCAAAAGGAAAAUGGAAACAUAAGACCAAAAUAGUCAGGACUGGUUUAAGGAGUCUUAGUUUCCUCUGGGGCAGGAGGCCAGGCAGUGUGGCUGGUCCACGGGGCGAGGAGGAGGUGGCAGGAGGCCUGGCUCUCCCCCUGUCCUGCCGUCAUACUUUGGCAAUUCUUUUUUUUUUUACCAUAGGCUAAUUUUGCCCUUUCCCCACUUGGUACUGUCAGCCUCUAGGAAUUCUUAAGUCUUGAUUUGGGCCUCCAAACACCAUGAUUUUGGCUUAAAUAUCCAGAGCACAUACGUAUGAAUUACGUGACUUUUUGAGUGGCCUUGUGGUUUCUGACUCUUUACAGACCAUAUUUCCAACCGAGCAGGUCAGAUUUUUUUUUUAUUAUGAUUAUUAUUAUUUUAAAUGAAAGCCAAGAAUUUCACAUAAACACAGGGCUCUGGCAGCUUGAACUGGUAGCAUUGCCUGCUCUUCAUGUGUUCUGCCUGCUUAGACAGGGAGCAUCUGAGGCAUGGGCUGUCACUGGCCAUGUCUGCAGAGCAUCAAGCAAAACCUCCCCAGUCUCAGCUGGCUUCCUGAACUUCCCCAGGGCAACUGAGAAAAAACAGCCAUUCCCCAGAUGUUUCCAGUGAGGGCAGUAGUUGGGAUAACUUUUGAGUUUGGCCUGCAUUAGAGCACAGGUAAGCAACAGACUGGAAGUGACCAAGGAAUGGGCUCUCGAAGAAGAUUUUUGGUGCAUCCUAUUUUGGCCCUGCUGUUGCAGCCUUGCCAAGGUGCUUUAAGUGCUCUUCAAAGCAGCAGAAAGACUAAGCUGUGAGAACUUGUCCAUGCAUGCAUUUGCUGGUCGCUGUGCUGAGUUUCAGAUGAGGUCCUGGGCAUACUCUAGGCAGAAGUUUGAGAGGAAGAUUGUGCGUAAUUGAACUGCCUUGCUCAUCCCAUGAUGAGCAAAAAACUCCAAUUCCCCAUGUUUUACCUUGCAGAUGUGUGGAUCCACCAUGGGAAGCUCCCUGUCUGUACAGCUGUCACCAGCUCUGUGAUAACAAGAAUCAUGGCUUUGGCUCUCAGCUCUGAAGCUCAUCUCUUCACAUUCUGAAGUGAAGAUGUUCUCUGAAUAAAUGAAGAAACUGAGAUCCUCAAAUGAAUGACAGAUUCUUCCUUAGGUCAGCUUUGCAGAGAAAGCAAAUAUUUCAGGAGAGUAUGGUUACUGCUCAUAGCUCUCUGGAGCCAGCCUGCUGACUCCUCUGCGGUGGCUGUAAAUCUGGUGGUGGUUCAGCUGAAGGACCUCACAGAUGCUAUUUCAGGCUGAUAUAAUGUACCAUAAAUGGGAUUGAAAGCACCCAUCUAUAGCAGACAAAGCCUUUCUGGUUCAUUCAAACACUGAGGAAACCGACCAUUGUAUAUAUGCACUGUUGGGAUUCAUCCAAAAGUGAGUGGUAGCCAAAAGAAUUUACACGUUCCCUGGCUGGGGAACAUGUUGAUUUCAGAAGGCAGCAAAGGUAACACAAGGAUACAGGGAGACUCCCUUGCCUGGCAUUUAGUAUUUGAAUUUCAUCCUUUGACUCACCAUGAAAGGGAAGAGUCCCAGAAGGACAGAAGAGCCCCCAUCACAAACGAUAUUCCUCAUUUAGAGGCAACAAGGUCUCCAUGGGAUGGCAAGAAAACAGAACUUGCUCUUGGGGUCUCUGGCUGAAUUUUGGGGAGUGCCUAUCUACCUGAAAUGAUACAUCAAUAAACAUAAUAUCACAAUCA